AUUGAACGCUGGCGGCAGGCCUAACACAUGCAAGUCGAACGGUAACAGGAAGAAGCUUGCUUCUUUGCUGACGAGUGGCGGACGGGUGAGUAAUGUCUGGGAAACUGCCUGAUGGAGGGGGAUAACUACUGGAAACGGUAGCUAAUACCGCAUAACGUCGCAAGACCAAAGAGGGGGACCUUCGGGCCUCUUGCCAUCGGAUGUGCCCAGAUGGGAUUAGCUAGUAGGUGGGGUAACGGCUCACCUAGGCGACGAUCCCUAGCUGGUCUGAGAGGAUGACCACCCAACCGGGAAUGGGAAACGGGUCCAGCCCCCUACGGGAGGCAGGGGGGGGGAAUUUUGCACAAUGGGGGCAAGCCUGAUGCAGCCAUGCCGGGUGUAUGAAAAAGGCCUUCGGUUUGUAAAGUAUUUUCAGGGGGGGGGAAGGGAGGAAAGUUAAUCCCUUUACUCAUUGACGUUCCCCGCAGAAAAAGCACCGGCUAACUCCGG
This 489-nucleotide ribosomal RNA is filed under the name uncultured bacterium. Its description in RNAcentral is "partial 16S ribosomal RNA". It matches the Rfam family "Bacterial small subunit ribosomal RNA", at positions 30 to 506 of the family's 1533-position model. The record is from RNAcentral.